AACAGCCGCGGUAAUUCCAGCUCCAAUAGCGUAUAUUAAAGUUGUUGCAGUUAAAAAGCUCGUAGUUGAAUUUCGGAAUCAAUUUGUUGGUCGUGCCUCGGUACGUACUGGUAUUAUUGGUUUCUACCUUCUGAAGAACCUUGAUGUCAUUAAUUUGGUGUCUUGGGGAAUCAGGACUGUUACUUUGAAAAAAUUAGAGUGUUUAAAGCAAGCAUACGCUUGAAUACAUUAGCAUGGAAUAAUGAAAUAGGACGUUUGAUUCUAUUUUGUUGGUUUCUAGGAUCGACGUAAUGAUUAAUAGGGAUAGUUGGGGGCAUUAGUAUUCAAUUGUCAGAGGUGAAAUUCUUGGAUUUAUUGAAGACUAACUACUGCGAAAGCAUUUGCCAAGGAUGUUUUCAUUAAUCAAGAACGAAAGUUAGGGGAUCGAAGACGAUCAGAUACCGUCGUAGU
Molecule: ribosomal RNA, 450 nt
Filed under: uncultured Glomeromycotina
Lineage: Eukaryota; Fungi; Glomeromycota
Description: SSU rRNA
Rfam family: Eukaryotic small subunit ribosomal RNA
Source: RNAcentral